GGGGAAGAAGUUUGCCCCCGCAUACGCCAAUAUUUUUAUGGCUGAGUGGGAGGACUCAGUCCUGAAAAUGUGUCCCAAAAAACCGUCACAAUACUACAGAUAUUUGGACGACAUCUGGGGUGUGUGGCCUCACUCGCGAGAGGAUUUUGACAUCUUUCUUGGAAUCCUCAACAGCUUUAAUCCAUCCAUCACCAUUAAAUCCACUAGCAGCCCCAGCAGAGAGGUGGACUUUUAUUCUGCUGUCAAAGUGUUGUUUCGCGCGCUGUCCAGCAGAGGGUACUCUCGCUCUUUCCUUAGAAAGUGCCAGAGGAAUUUCCUUGUUAAAAAGCCCAUCAUGGUUGGUUCAAGCCUCACCUUUGUGACCACAUACUCACCAUCCACCAGAGACUUGGUUAGAGGCUGCAGGGAAAGAUUCCUUCACCACACCAGAGACAAGGACGUUCUGCAGGAUUUCAGAAUUAUUCCGGCUUUCCGGAGAAAUAGAAAUCUGCAGGAUUUUUUGGUUAAAGCUAAAAUAAGACCUCUAUAUAUUCCACAAGUCAGGAACCCGGUAGACUAUUUUAAGCAGCGGACAUGGCUCCGGAGCCAUAGCACAAAAGAGGUCUUCCACAUUAUGGUUCGGGGUCAUGUCAAAUGCAAAAAUUGUGUUUCUUAUUAUGUGCCAGUCUUGUGGCCUGCAGUAUGUGGGGGAGACGGGCAACAGCAUCGCCACCAGGAUGGCACAACACAAAUAUAACAUUACAAACAGAAAAAAGAUACAGACGCCAUUAGUGGCACAUUUCAUAGUACAUGGAUGGAAAUCCUUAUCCACUAGCAUUCUCCAGUGCAACCCCAGGUGGAGUCCUCCCCUGAGGAGGAGAGCUGAGAGGCUGUGGAUCAACAAGCUGGACACCUUGCAUCCUAAAGGCCUCAAUGAGGGUUGAGAGGUGCAGACAGUGGGGUGGUGCUGGACUGUGCAUCGAUGGUCCUGUUCGCAGGACCUUCACAAUCCUUUAAUCCCUAACCCUAACCCUAACCCCUAACCCAGGGAGAACCCUACAUAAGGCACACACACAUAAUCGCCCUACACGUAUCACCCAUAACCCUGGACCUCUUCUGCCUUUGAUGAGUUUAACACCACUUACACAUAGUCUUCCUACACACAUUUCAUCUCCCCUGGGGCCGAGAAGUGAAGAGGGUCCCAACCAUGGCCCUCGUCCCCUCCUCCCCAACCUAAGGAGAAAUCCGCAAACCACACAUGGUUUACCUGCAGACACAUUUUUAUUAGCCAAACUCUACUUUAAACUAUUACAGGCAAUUCAUCAUACAGAAAUUCUGGACACUACACUCAACACCCAUACAUUCCCACAGGACAUGAUGAGACAGGUAAUUCGCCUUUCCUCCUUCAUCAAGCCCUCCUCACCCAAUGACAUCACCCGCACCAAGAUCAAAGAAAACACAGACACCUGGAUGACCAACAAUAUGCACAUUCUCCGUCAACAUUAUCAGUCCGUCAUCUCUGGAGGUUUGGAGAACCUCCCCCCCUUUAACCCAAUCCCCUUCAAUAAAGCGAUCCAGUGGGGGAGAUCGAGGUAUGGGAGGAAGCUCACCUCCUCCUCGAUUAACACACUGCGGGAGACCAUCACCAACCCGGCUGCGGAGGAGGUGCCUUCCCCUCCCCGACUCUCCCCCCUGGAGUACCCUCCCCUUCCUGAAGCGUCCAACUGUAAUACCAAACUGCCUUCCCCCACUAUCACUCUACCCAUCACUUCACUGAUCCCUCCACCCCCUUCCACGCCCCCCUCCCUCUCCAACACCCCCUUACCUCGUCUUAACUCUCCAGUCCCUCCUAUUUCCUCUUUAUUCCCCCCUCUCCCCCUUUCACCUGAUGGAGACCUCUGUACUUCCCCUAAAGGCGCGGACAACCCCACCAGGACUCCUCCACCCGCUCUCAGGCGUAACCCAGAACGAACGGUUAAAGUCAUGGUGCAUCCUCUCUCCCAGAGAGUAGUCCAACGCCUUACUCGGAGAGCUAUUCGUCCUGGUGCCCCCCCCGCGCCUUCACCCACCACUCCCCCCGUACACAUAGACACUUCACACCCCCUCACCCUCCCUUACAAUAAUGUUGCUCUCCCAUGUAGUAACACCAUCUCUUUUCUCUCUUCAGAAACACUUCAACAGCAGAGGGAGCCGGAGCAGGUUGUCAUCGGUCCUGCUGAUGAUCAGAUAACAACUGAGGCGGGCGUUGAAAACAACAGGAUGAUGGCAGGGACAGUCGGUCCAACACUGACCUCAAUCCCACCACCUGAAACGCCCGCCACUGAUUCCAGCAGUGACCUCUUGACACCAUCCGGCCCCCCACCACGUACAGAACCAUAUAAACACGGCAAAACCUUUCAGAAGGCCAAGUUCUGGUCGUUGGAGGUCUCUAAGAAGGUGGUCAUUAUCGGGGACUCGAAUCUGGCCCGCAUCCCUUCUUUCUCAGACCCCGACAUCCAAAUAGAUAGCUAUCCUGGUGCAAGCUUUAAGAAUAUUUUUGACAUCCUCUUCAAACUCACCCCUCACCCAGAGACCACUCAGGUCAUCCUUUCUGUAGGAAUAAUCAACUGCCUCUCCCUCAACACCACCGUCACCAUCUCCAAGAACCUGGCUCUAUUAUGGAGAACUGCUAAAGCCAAAUUCCCCAACGCAACCAUUCACAUUCCCAUCAUUAAUUUUUCACCACCCAAUACACGUUCACUCCUCAAUCACCUCAACACCAUCCUUGCCAACAAGUAUAACUUUAUCCCGGAAAUAAACCCCCUUCUCUUUCAGGUCACCCCGGAUCACAUACAUUGGACACCCCAGACGGCGGAGAUGAUCUUCCAGUACUGGAAAACACAUUCAAACUGCUUAAGGGGGAGGAAUGUGACCACACAUCUCCCCCUCUUACAAACAUCACUAACCUUUGCUCUGCCCUCUCCCUCACACCCACACAGUUGGAGAUUUUGGAAAAAGGACUCUCCUUCAUCCCCACUCCCAAACCUCCAACCCGGCCGGAGCUCAGGGGGGGGAUCUCCACACUUUUCACAGGAGGCUUAAACUGCUAGAUCACUUCUGGGGAGCCCCGAGGCGGGAGCCUGUACCCUUUACCGGACCGUCCUCCUGGGAACCGUCCCCAAACACCAUCUCACCAGAAAUCAACCAACUCAUUCAGGACAACUUGCUAGCACUGACAAAAUGGAGCCCCCAUAUGCACACAUAGUCCAACAUUAGCUUACAACACAAACACAUUCUUAAAACAUUGGGCAAUAGCAAACACAGUCAUCAAACCAGCGGACAAAGGGGGCCAAAUAGUUUUACAGGACAGACAUAAUUACAUAUUAGAAGCAGACAGACAAUUAAAAAACCACACAUAUUAUGCACCACUCACACAUUCAUUACAAAUAGCUACACAACAUUUAAUUCGAGACAUCACACAUAGCCUUUUAAACAAUCAUUAUAUCAACUCAAAACAGAAACAGUACUUGGACGGUCCGGAGGAACCCAGGCCCCGCCUCUUCUACUUGCUCCCCAAGAUUCAUAAGCCUCCGGAAACCUGGACGGUCCCCUUUGUUGUUCCGGUCGGCCGCCCCAUAGUCAGCGAUUGCGGUUCCGAGUCCUACAAUAUCACAGAAUACAUUGAUCAUUAUAUCAACCCUCUUUCCAAAUUACACCCCAGUUAUCUUAAAGACACAUACCAAUUCGUCCGUAUAAUCAAUAAUGUUAAAGUACCCGGUCAUAGUUUUCUUUUCUCCAUAGACAUAGACUCCCUCUACACAAAUAUUGAAACUUCAUUAGGCCUCAUUGCCAUUCAGGACAUUUUUAAACAGCACCCUGACCCGGCCAGACCAGAUAAAGAACUGUUGCAACUACUACACAUCACCCUGACUCGGAACGAUUUCUCAUUUAAUAAUAAAUAUUAUCUCCAGUUGUGUGGGUGCGCUAUGGGCCGGAAGUAUUCCCCGGCCUAUGCGGAUAUAUACCUGGCCCAUUGGGAGAGAGCAGCCUUCACCAAACUUCAAUACAAGCCCCUCAUCUACUUCCGGUACUUGGACGACAUCUUCGACGUCUGGGACCACACUGAGGAACAAUUUCACACAUUUUUGGACACUUUAAAUGCACAUCACCCUAAAAUCAAACUCAAACACAACCUUCAACAUCUGGCAGUUGAGUUCCUUGAUACAAUUGCCUUCUUUCGGACCUCCGACGACCAGACCAAAACUCUGGCCACUAAGGUAUAUUUUAAAGACACGGACCGUCACGCCCUUUUACAUAAAUCGAGUUACCACCCCAAACACACGUACAGAGGCCUCAUCAAAUCCCAACUGCUCAGAUUCCACAGAAUCUGCACAGACGAGGAUGAUUUUUGGAAGGUGGUUAAAAUCCUUUUCCGGGCGCUCAAAAUGAGGGGAUAUUCCAGAUCCUUCUGCAGGAGAGGCCUUAAAACCUUCCUAAAAAAGAAACCAAUCUCACUCACUUCUAAUAUCCCGCUCAUUACCACGUACUCACCCUCUACUCUGAACCUCUCUAAUCAAUUUAAAAACAAUUUUAUCAAUGGCAUUACAGGGUUGUUGAUAUUACAAAAUCACAAUAUAAUCCCGACCUAAAUAAAAACCUUCAGGACUUUCUAGUGAAAGCUAAACUGCCACCGCUCUCUAAACCUAAACUUAGAUAUAAAGGGGAUUUCUUCAAACGUUGGUUCACCAACAAUAGCACAGGAUAAGUUUUUCAGACGCUCACUCAUGGCGACCCUGCCACGAAAAACUGUGUGUAUGUUAUCUCGUGCAAAAAGUGUGCUCUCAUGUAUGUGGGUGAGACUUGGAAUGCACUCGCCACCCGCAUCACACAACAUAGAUAUAACAUCACCAAAAAGAAGAAGACAUCCACCCUUGGUCAAACAUUUUAUUCUUCACGGAUGGUCAUCCCUGUCUGCUACAAUUGUGCAGUGUGACGACAGGUUGACCACGACCCAGUGGAGGACAGCAGAGAGGACGUGAAUCUCCAGACUGGGAACAAAAGACCCACAAGGCCUAGACGAAAAAUGAGAACCUCGCAGCAGGGCCCGGCGAUGGACAGCACAUCUGGGGCGGUGUUGUCUCACGCAACACCUCCACCAAAACCCCACCCUAACCCAUCACACCGACUGUUCUGCCACCAGUGUCCGAAGAUCAUUCUUCAUAUGGGACAUCGAACUGGGACGCCCCGCCGUCUGGAACUUUUUUCUCUUAAACUCCUCCAUCCAUCACGCCAACUGUUCUGCCAACAGUGUCUGAAAAUCAUGCACCAAACUCUGACAUCGGACUGGGACGCCCUGCCGUCUGGAGCAUCCUUCUCUUAAACUCCUUCCAUCACAAGUCCAAAGCCGGAAAAUA
This is a long non-coding RNA of Gasterosteus aculeatus aculeatus (three-spined stickleback), 5372 nucleotides long. NCBI's taxonomy places the organism in Eukaryota, Metazoa, Chordata, Actinopteri, Perciformes, Gasterosteidae. The record is from Ensembl.